GAUGAACGCUGGCGGCGUGCCUAAUACAUGCAAGUCGAGCGAACGGACGAGAAGCUUGCUUCUCUGAUGUUAGCGGCGGACGGGUGUGUAACACGUGGAUAACCUACCUAUAAGACUGGGAUAACUUCGGGAAACCGGAGCUAAUACCGGAUAAUAUUUUGAACCGCAUGGUUCAAUAGUGAAAGACGGUCUUGCUGUCACUUAUAGAUGGAUCCGCGCUGCAUUAGCUAGUUGGUAAGGUAACGGCUUACCAAGGCUACGAUGCAUAGCCGACGUGAGAGAGUGAUCGGCCACACUGGAAGGUAGACGCGGUCCAGACGCCUGCGGGAGGCAGCAGUAGGGAAUCGGCCGCAAUGGGCGAAAGCCUGACGGAACAACGCCGCGUGAGUGAUAAAGGUCUUCGGAUCGUAAAACUCUGUUAUUAGGGAAGAACAUAUGUGUAAGUAACUGUGCACAGCUUGACGGUACCUAAUCAGAAAGCCACGGCUAACUACGUG
This 497-nucleotide ribosomal RNA is filed under the name uncultured bacterium. RNAcentral's name for it is "partial 16S ribosomal RNA". It matches the Rfam family "Bacterial small subunit ribosomal RNA", at positions 28 to 507 of the family's 1533-position model. The record is from RNAcentral.